Molecule: small RNA, 562 nt
Filed under: Pan troglodytes (chimpanzee)
Lineage: Eukaryota; Metazoa; Chordata; Mammalia; Primates; Hominidae
Description: retained intron
Source: RNAcentral
AGACGGGGUCGACUUCCGGCUCAGUCGGGAGGCCCUGAAACACGUCUACCUGUCUGGGAUCAACUCCUGGAAGAAACGCCUGAUCCGCAUCAAGAAUGGCAUCCUCAGGGGCGUGUACCCUGGCAGCCCCACCAGCUGGCUGGUCGUCAUCAUGGCAACAGUGGGUUCCUCCUUCUGCAACGUGGACGUCUCCUUGGGGCUGGUCAGUUGCAUCCAGAGAUGCCUCCCUCAGGGGUGUGGCCCCUACCAGACCCCGCAGACCCGGGCACUUCUCAGCAUGGCCAUCUUCUCCACGGGCGUCUGGGUGACGGGCAUCUUCUUCUUCCGCCAAACCCUGAAGCUGCUUCUCUGCUACCAUGGGUGGAUGUUUGAGAUGCAUGGCAAGACCAGCAACUUGACCAGGAUCUGGGCUGUGAGCAGCAGCCAGUGGAGGGGUUCAGGCACCUGGGUUGAGACUCUUUGGACUCCUUUGGGGUUCUGAGCUAGAGGGGAGAGGCAGACAGGGCACUGGUGCCUGGUGUGUGGUUUGUCCUGGAGGGGCUGGGAUGGCUCUGAGGGUCUC